Molecule: ribosomal RNA, 837 nt
Filed under: Bacillus sp. MS9(2015)
Lineage: Bacteria; Bacillati; Bacillota; Bacilli; Caryophanales; Bacillaceae
Description: bacterial SSU rRNA
Rfam family: Bacterial small subunit ribosomal RNA
Source: RNAcentral
GGAGACCUUGAGUGCAGAAGAUGAGAAGUGAACUGCAUGUGUAGCGUUGAAAUGCGUAGAGAUGAUGAGGAACACCAGGUGCGGAAGCGACUCUCUGGUCUGUAACUGACGCUGAGACGCGAAAGCGUGGGGAGCGAACAGGGUUAGAUACCCUGGUAGUCCACGCCGUAAACGAUGAGUGCUAAGUGUUUGAGGGGUUCCGCCCUUUAGUGCUGCAAGCUAACGCAUUAAGCACUCCGCCUGGGGAGUACGGCCGCAAGGCUGAAACUCAAAGGAAUUGACGGGGGCCCGCACAAGCGGUGGAGCAUGUGGUUUUAUUCGAAGCAACGCGAAGAACCUUACCAGGUCUUGACAUCCUCUGACAACCCUAGAGAUAGGGGUUCCCCUUCGGGGGCAGAGUGACAGGUGGUGCAUGGUUGUCGUCAGCUCGUGUCGUGAGAUGUUGGGUUAAGUCCCCGCAACGAGCGCAACCCUUGAUCUUAGUUGCCAUCAUUCAGUUGGGCACUCUAAGGUGACUGCCGGUGACAAACCGGAGGAAGGUGGGGAUGACGUCAAAUCAUCAUGCCCCUUAUGACCUGGGCUACACACGUGCUACAAUGGACGGUACAAAGAGCAGCAAAACCGCGAGGUGAGCCAAUCUCACAAAUCCGUUCUCAGUUCGGAUUGCAGUCUGCAACUCGCCUACAUGAAGCUGGAAUCGCUAGUAAUCGCGGAUCAGCAUGCCGCGGUGAAUACGUUCCCGGGCCUUGUACACACCGCCCGUCACACCACGAGAGUUUGUAACACCCGAAGUCGGUGAGGGUAACCUUUAGGAGCCAGCCGCCGAAUGGUGAUCCG